This 256-nucleotide ribosomal RNA is filed under the name uncultured bacterium. Its description in RNAcentral is "partial 16S ribosomal RNA". It matches the Rfam family "Bacterial small subunit ribosomal RNA", at positions 524 to 777 of the family's 1533-position model. The record is from RNAcentral.
UACGGAGGGGGCUAGCGUUGUUCGGAAUUACUGGGCGUAAAGCGCGCGUAGGCGGACCUGCAAGUCGGGGGUGAAAGCCCGAGGCUCAACCUCGGAACUGCCUUUGAUACUGCAAAUCUCGAGUCCGGAAGAGGUGAGUGGAAUUCCUAGUGUAGAGGUGAAAUUCGUAGAUAUUAGGAAGAACACCAGUGGCGAAGGCGGCUCACUGGUCCCGGUACUGACGCUGAGGCUGCGAAAGCGUGGGGAGCAAACAGGG